ACCGUCCUUUCCGUGGGGCGGCGCCACUGUCCGAUGAACGAGCAGUGAGGGCAGCACUGCUGACGCCUCCGCAACACGCCCGCGUCAGCUACAGCUGGGCUUUACUUUGGUGCAACUUUUGGAAAA
RNAcentral lists this non-coding RNA (126 nucleotides) under Prolemur simus (greater bamboo lemur). Its description in RNAcentral is "U4atac minor spliceosomal RNA (ENSPSMG00000024828.1)". It matches the Rfam family "U4atac minor spliceosomal RNA". Rfam says of the family: U4atac is an essential component of the minor U12-type spliceosome complex which is required for removal of the rarer class of eukaryotic introns (AT-AC, U12-type). These interacting stem loops have been shown to be required for in vivo splicing. U4atac also contains an 3' Sm protein binding site which has been shown to be essential for splicing activity. The record is from Rfam by way of RNAcentral. Lineage: Eukaryota; Metazoa; Chordata; Mammalia; Primates; Lemuridae.